RNAcentral lists this ribosomal RNA (253 nucleotides) under uncultured bacterium. RNAcentral describes it as "partial 16S ribosomal RNA". It matches the Rfam family "Bacterial small subunit ribosomal RNA", at positions 524 to 776 of the family's 1533-position model. The record is from RNAcentral.
UACGAAGGUGUCAAACGUUGUCCGGAAUUACUGGGCGUAAAGGGCGCGUAGGCGGCAAGUUAAGUCAUAUGUGAAAGUCCAAGGCUCAACCUUGAAAUUGCAUGUGAUACUGGCUAGCUUGAGUGCGGGAGAGGGAUGUGGAAUUCCAGGUGUAGCGGUGAAAUGCGUAGAUAUCUGGAGGAACACCGGUGGCGAAGGCGGCAUCCUGGACCGACACUGACGCUGAGGCGCGAAAGCUAGGGGAGCAAACGGG